GAUGAACGCUAGCGGNAGGCCUAAUACAUGCAAGUCGAACGGAAUAUAGUUUCGGAUUAUAUUUAGUGGCGCACGGGUGAGUAACACGUACAUAACUUACCCUCAAGAGGGGGAUGGCCUUGGGAAACUGAGCGUAAUACCCCAUAGUAUUAUUGAACGGCAUCGUUUGAUAAUUAAAGCUACGGCGCUUGAGGAUAGAUGUGCGUCUGAUUAGCUAGUUGGUAAGGUAACGGCUUACCAAGGCGACGAUCAGUAGGGGGCGUGAGAGCGUGGCCCCCCACACGGGUACUGAGACACGGACCCGACUCCUACGGGAGGCAGCAGUAAGGAAUAUUGGUCAAUGCCCGGAAGGGUGAACCAGCCAUGCCGCGUGAAGGAUGACUGCCCUCUGGGUUGUAAACUUCUUUUGGAUGGGACGAAAAAACGGGAUUUAUCCUGGACUGACGGUACCAUCAGAAUAAGCACCGGCUAACUCCGUG
This 479-nucleotide ribosomal RNA is filed under the name uncultured bacterium. Its description in RNAcentral is "bacterial SSU rRNA". It matches the Rfam family "Bacterial small subunit ribosomal RNA", at positions 28 to 507 of the family's 1533-position model. The record is from RNAcentral.